Molecule: long non-coding RNA, 1027 nt
Organism: Mirounga angustirostris (Northern elephant seal)
Lineage: Eukaryota; Metazoa; Chordata; Mammalia; Carnivora; Phocidae
Exons: 4
Source: RefSeq, a predicted model, not a curated record
UUAUUUUUCCUCUAGCAUUUAGGAUAUGCUCACCCCCUCACUCUCCACUAUCAUUUUAUAUUCUGCAUUGUCCUCAGUUCUAAAUAAUGGUUUACUUGGUACAGGAACCAAAGUUAAAUCCUCUCCUUGAAAUAAAAGAUAGGGAAGUAAUAAAUGGAAAUCUGUAUCACCCAAAUCCCAUGUAAGUUCUAAUUUUCAGAGAUAUAGCUUAUCCUUUCUGUAGUCAAUAUAGAAGUCAUUAACUACCAUAGUCUAUGCAGUUAGCACUAGAGAGCUACUCUGGAAGGACUAGACUUGGAAAAGAAUAGCAGAAUAUGAACCAUGAUAAAGGCACUACAGAGAAUAAGGGAUGUCUUUUUCCCUUCUGCAGAAGCCACCAUCUUGGAUAUUAAAAGGUAUAGCGGGGACUUCUGAUUCUCUUAUGCCCUACUCUGCAGUGGGUACUUGAGAACAGAGGGGUUUCUUUCCUGACCCAGGAAGUUCAAAAGAUUUUGACACAUCGGUUGUUGAAGAAUACCGAGGUGAGAUUUUAUUUAUUUAUUUGAAGAGAGAGACACAGUGAGAGAGGGAACACAAGCAGGGGGAGUGGGAGAAGGAGAAGCAGGCUUCCCGCCGAGCAGGGAGCCCGAUGCGGGGCUCGAUCCUAGGACCCCGGGAUCAUGACCUGAGCCGAAGGCAGACGCUUAACGACUGAGCCACCCAGGCACCCCAGGUGUUGGGAAGAGAGGCUGUGAACCCACUUCAUUCAGCCAUUUCUACCUCUGCAGUCCGGAUGGAGGACGUGUGUUCCCACUGUGCUCUGGUGGCUUGGAGGAAGGGUCUCAUUCACACUCACCUGCCGUGUCACGCAGGAAAGCUGUACCCUGAGGCAAUCUGGGAAUGGCAUAAGUUUCAGGUCCCAUGAAAGUUACAUCAUACACCUUCUGUGAUUAUACACCUUCAGUGACUAAAGAAUGAAGUAUUGAAGAGUUUAAAGAGAAGAUUCAUUUGUAUCCCCUUGCCUCAAGCCAAAUAACCACAAGGCAAG